This 30-nucleotide small RNA is filed under the name Bombyx mori (domestic silkworm). RNAcentral's name for it is "piRNA piR-bmo-2137827". The record is from RNAcentral. Lineage: Eukaryota; Metazoa; Arthropoda; Insecta; Lepidoptera; Bombycidae.
UGAUCAAACUUAAUUGGGCGUAGCACUAGA